UACGUAGGGUGCAAGCGUUGUCCGGAAUUAUUGGGCGUAAAGAGCUCGUAGGCGGUCUGUCGCGUCUGGUGUGAAAAUCCAGGGCUUAACCCUGGACCUGCAUCGGGUACGGGCAGACUAGAGUGCGGUAGGGGAGAUCGGAAUUCCUGGUGUAGCGGUGAAAUGCGCAGAUAUCAGGAAGAACACCCGUGGCGAAGGCGGCUCUCUGGGACGGUACUGACGCUGAGACGCGAAAGCGUGGGGAGCGAACAGG
RNAcentral lists this ribosomal RNA (253 nucleotides) under uncultured bacterium. Its description in RNAcentral is "partial 16S ribosomal RNA". It matches the Rfam family "Bacterial small subunit ribosomal RNA", at positions 524 to 776 of the family's 1533-position model. The record is from RNAcentral.